RNAcentral lists this long non-coding RNA (4452 nucleotides) under Panax ginseng (ginseng). Its description in RNAcentral is "long non-coding RNA (PGIN_LNC010680)". Lineage: Eukaryota; Viridiplantae; Streptophyta; Magnoliopsida; Apiales; Araliaceae. The record is from RNAcentral.
AGCAAUACAAAGUGCUACAACACAAAUGUGCAAAACAAUCUAUACAAAGUAUCCCUUGUAGUUGUUGCCAACAAGCCAUAGCAAUACAAAAAUGAAACCACACAAACUUAAAUACACAAUGCUUAGAACGACAUCCACUUCUACGUAAAUAUAAAAAUGGAAUCAUUUUGAAACUAUUCACCCGAGUUAAUAAAACAAUGUAUUACAAAAUUUAGUCAAAUAUACAUUCACUAGUCUUCAUUUUAAUUCAAAUCUAAAGUUUGGUCGUUGAAAAGAUAUUUUUCAGAAUGUCCCAAGCUUUGCACAUCCUAAGCUCAUGUGCUAUUUUAAAUCUUAAGCUCAUGUGCUACUCUAAAUCUAAAGUUACAAGCCUCGUUAGGAGUCCACCUCGGUUCCUUCAUGAUAUUUAUCCGGUGCAAAAAGAAACCUACGUACUUUGCAACAUAUACGCCACAAUCGUCUAAAUUAUAUUGUGUCGGCCUAUUCACACAGACUUCAACUUUCGGCUUCGAUAUUGGCACUUUGUUGUAGGAUUUGCUUGACGAAGCAACAAAGGAAUUAACUCCACCUGUAAACCACAAAGCCAUCAUUUAAUUCCCAAUAUACAAUAUAUGUAUGUGUAAUGACAUGAAAACAAAUAAUAUACCCAAGACAUGUGCCCAUAACCAACCAUUGGAUCUCAGACAGUUCACAUCCUUAAACUCUAAGUUGUAUAGACCGCCUAGAUGGAUACGAGGAAAGUUUGAUGGGUCGUGAGUUGGACUAAAUCAAUGGUGAUUUAACCAAGUGAUUUUCUCAAUCUUUAAGUAAUUAACAAAGUGAGUGUGCUUUGUUACCUCUCUCCUUCUAACUGUCAAUUUCCAACUAUGUCAAGUAGAAGGGUCAACGCUAGGCUGAGUCUCUUGAACCGUAGGCUGGGAUCCCAUCAUGUCAAUCUCCAUUUGUCUAACUUGAGGUUGCGUUGUAUUUGGAUUGAUUGGAACCCCUCUGUAAUCAUUCAUGAACGGUUGGUACAGUGUAUUGAACCAUGUCUCAUACAUGGUUCUUAACUCAGGUGGUUGUUCAAUUGAAAAAAACUUUUCAAAUAUAGCGUUUGCAGUCUCAAUCUACAAUUAAAAAAACAAAAUUUAUAUUAAUAAAACAAGGUCAUCAAUUUAAAACACAAAAACAUUAAUAAAUAUUAUAAAUUGAACAACUUACAAUGUUUACAACCACAUAUGGGUCAAUGAAUGUCCGUGGCUCAUAAUCUUCCCCUUGAUGCCUAAAGGGUCGAGGAUGGUGUAUCCGUCUCCGAGUAACUUCUCUAUACCAUGUCAUAUAAUCCUCGAUAGAUAUUUGCGGCAAAGCCUCCAACACUUGCCCUUCUAAACUCUCCAUGUAGGCCUCCCACAAUCGAAUAUAAUCAACUCUAUGAUUUUCAUAAUUUCUUCUCUCAAAUAAUUUAUGUUCUUCCCUCAAUUCCACCAUAUUUUCAGCAUUAGACGGAUAGGAUUGCAAAUAUCCAAAUUGCCUCAUAAAUCUGUCAGGCAUUUGGAACUCAACAAUGUCGUAAUGUAUCAAAGGUAUGCGAGCGGCUCCACCUAACCUUGCCUCAAAAAAGUCCCAAGGCAAACGUCUAUCAAAUAACUGAUAUGGACGCCACACCCCAUCAGUUUCCAACAUAUUAUCAAACUCUCCUCGGUAAAACACAAGAUGGUGAUGUGGAUUUUUUCGACGUUGAUAAUGUUUUGAAUUAGGAUCAAAAGAGGAGUAUGCCCAGGAUAAUGCCCUAGGUAUCAACUUCUGGGACUUAGGCCUAGGGGUAGGACGACCAAUGUUAAACCUUUCAUGAGCCCACAUCAUAAGAAGGGUCGCACAUCCUGCGAAUUUUCUCGUUUUUUUGCGAGUAGCAUCAUGCAAACACCUAUACAAAUGCCCUAAAACGGCUGCCCCCCAAGCAUAUGUAACUAUGUCUUCCAAUCUUUCCAAUAACAACAAAUAUCUAGGAUGCACAACAUUUUUACUCUUUGUUGGAAACAAAAUAGCUCCACACAAAUACAACAGAUAUGCCUUAGUGUGUUUUACCACAUCAUUUGUAGUAGCAUCAUCAGGUACUUGUCCAUAUCUAUGUCUUAACCAAGGCAAACUUAUGCCCCCCCCUUUUAUAGCAUUGUUCCCAGUCAUCUACUGCAGCUUGUUGCCCAAAAAUCCUUAUAAAAUAGCUUUUGGGAUGUUCUAGUUCUCCACAAGUCAAAGGUUUUCCUAAUAUGGGCAACCCGAAUAAAAAUCUCACAUCCUCUAUAGUAAUGCUAAUCUCUCCACAAUUUAAGUGAAACGUAUUUGUUUCACUUCUCCAACGCUCAACUAGGGCAGAUACAAGAGAUGCAUCAAUCUUUGACACUAUAGUUUGAUGACAAAAUAUACCAAAACCUAAUUGUUCCAGUAGAUAUUCUUGUUGUUCAGUCAAGUUCCAUUCAGUUAAUUUUGCAGACAUUUGACAAAUUUCUAACACGCCCCUAUCCUACAAGUCCAACAACAUACAAACAUAAAUUGUCACAACAUGAAUGUUUCUAACAAAAGUUUAAGAAAGUGAAAGUUGUUAUACAAUAAUAAACUUACAAUAUUUUGCCAUAAGUCUGACGAUACGUGAUUUUCUUGGUCCCAUAAGACAAUAAGAUUAAUAGGUCCGGGAUUAAUAUCCAUAUCUUACCUAAACAUUCAUCACAAUGUCAAGUAUUAAACAAUUUAUAAAAAUUCUCAUCAAACUUGGAUAUGAGCAAAAUGACAAAUAUACUUGGUCAAUUAUUAACACCUAAAAUCAAUCAUGUUAGUUGGAUGCAUUAGUUUAUUGAAGUACAUGACAUACAAAUUAAAUAAACAUAGAUAUCGCAAAUUUUGGGGUCGAAAUGGAAGACAGUCACUACAGAAGAGAAGAAGCCUUAUGAGGAAAAGUAUCAAGAUGAGAAGGAACCCUAUUUGAAGAUAAUUGGGAACGAAAAAGCGAGAGAAUGAAGCAAUGAACCUCUUGAAGGAAGAGCAAAAACAGAUUACAGUUAUGGAGUUGCUUGAACAAUAUAUGCACUUUAAAGAUGAAACGGAAACGGAUAAGAAGAAAAAAAAGUAAAUCUCAGUACCCUUUCUCUUUCUCUUUCACUUUCUCUGUCCCACUCUUCAUUUUUCAAUCUGACAAUUAAUUAAUUCUCAAAUGGGAUUUGGUUUGUUUGGCUAUGUAGGAAAUAAGCAGAGAAGAAAAGUAGGGUUGGAACUAGAAAGCUGCAGGAGCUAUGGAUGCAUACAAGAAGGAAUUGGAAGAAUACAACAAAUCUGCAGCAGAAGAGAUCACAAGUUCAAACAGCCCCCAGCUGUGAAAAAACUCUAUUGAUGUUCAAGUUGUUCUGUUGAACAUCUGCGAGUUCCUGCUCAUUUUCAUCAGCCAGUUCUGUGGCUUAAAGUUCCAGUCUUUUUUAAACUAGUUUUCAGAAUUUUAAACACAAUUUGCACUGCUCUCAAGAGAUAUCUUCAGCUAUAAAAUGAGUACUAGAAAUUGUUCAAGUAUGUUUUAAAUUUUUAUUUUUGUUUCACAAAUUUGUUCGGCUCCAAAUGAUGCUAACCAUAGAACUUUUUUUCUCCCCAACUUACACAAUAUAAUGGUUUGAUAAUCUUUUCAAUUUGGAUUCAUCAAAGAAAACUAAUUAUCGUAUAGAGAUUAAAAAUCCUCUGAAAACCAAGUACAGAGAUUAAAAACCAUUUGAAAGAAGAUGAUCUACCAACCCCCAAUAAUUAAUUACAAGCAAAACUAUAACGAAUUUUACAAAUUCUAAAGUUCCAAAUCAAACUGGCACAUGAAAGUUCAGUUUUGUUUCUCGUUAAACAAAACUAUCCAACUCCAUAAAUUUUACACACAGCAACAGAAAAGUGGAGAGAUAAAGUAAACUACAGUACAAAACAAAAAUCAAACAAAAACCCAAAAUAAAAACAGGUAUAUAUAUACAACAGUGGAUUAAUUUUGUCAUAUAAAUAGUAAUACCCAUAUAUGAGAAAACUAAUCUAGGGGUUACUUAAAUUCAAAAAACUUUCUGAUUAAAUAACAAACUUACCUAUUAAAUAAUGCUGAUUAGCUUGCUGUAGAACACAAAUUUUGGACACACGAUACCAAAUUUGCACAACUUGUUACCGAUCUGUAGUCAAGUGGGAACUAUGAGAAAUCGCAGCAGCUUUAGACUUGGGAGAUUAAAUAACCAACUUACCAAUUAAAUGCUGAUUAGUUUGCUGUAGAACACAAAUUUUGGACGCACAAUGUCAAAUUUACAUUACUUGUUGCCGAUCUGCAGCCAAUUGCGAACUAGGGUUCAUGUGAGUUUUGUUACCUUUUGGCUCAUGAGAAAUCGCAGGGUUUUGCUGAGUUUUGUUGCCUUUUUCCCCAAUUCGUUUUAAUAUGCGUCCGCUAGUAGCGGACUAGUGUUUGUUAUUAAC